GUCGCGGUAGCCUAGUGGUUAGGGCACUGGCCUCGCAAUUCCAGGGACCCGGGUUCGAUUCCCGGCCGCGGCA
RNAcentral lists this transfer RNA (73 nucleotides) under Penaeus chinensis. RNAcentral's name for it is "tRNA-Ala". It matches the Rfam family "tRNA". Rfam says of the family: Transfer RNA (tRNA) molecules are approximately 80 nucleotides in length. Their secondary structure includes four short double-helical elements and three loops (D, anti-codon, and T loops). Lineage: Eukaryota; Metazoa; Arthropoda; Malacostraca; Decapoda; Penaeidae. The record is from RNAcentral.